AAGUUGGUGUUAGAUAUUGCCAGUCUGUCAAAGUUGGGUAGCCCAUGUGAACACACUUCCCCAACUGAUUAAAGUAGCUUUCUCUCCCUGUUCUUGAGCAUGCUCUCGAGGUGAGAUCUAUAGCUCUUGCUACCCUUCUCUGUUCUGCCCCCUUCUUGGUGUCAUCUCUCUAUCCCGUUGGAGCGCCUCUCUUAGUGUUGUCGGAUGGUUAAAAGCCCAAUUACCCAUCAAUUCUUCGUUGAGGGUCAGCUUUGCUAUUGUGUGAGCUCCUUUGUUUCCUUCUCUACCGAUCCACGCAAAGUUCCAGUUGUCGUGAUUAAUUUGCCAAAGUCGAAGAUCCUUCACAAUAUGUUGGAUCUCCCCGUAAAGCAUUUCCCCUUUACAAGCUUGGAUCAGCUGUGGGCUAUCAAACUCAAAGAUGAUGUCUUGAAGAUCCAUGUUCAUAGCUAUGACCAUGGCUUCACGGAGUGAGAUGGCCUCUGCAAUUAAGGGAGAGGUGGUACAAAGGUCUUAGCCCGGGUGCAAACGGUGAUCCCUUUCAUCUCUAAAUAUGAUUCCUCUGCUAGCUUUCUUCGAUCUCUCUAAAAGGCCGCAUCUGUAUUGCAUUUGAGGUGCCCUGGUGGUUGAAGAUUCCAGAUUAGGGGAAUUCUUGCGUUUCCAUUUCGAACUGGAGCGGGCGGAGGGGUGAUCGAUGUUCUGUAUUCCUCAUGAGGUACUGGUUGCAGAAUUUCUCCAGUGGCCACCCAUCUCCAGUUCCAAACCUGUAUCGUCUCUCUGUUCCCAACUUGCUAAUGUCCUUGCUUAAGUAGGAUCUCACAGCCAUGGAUAAUGCUGGCCCAGACCCACGAGGAACCAGUUCGCUUUGGAGCGUGCCAGAAGUCUUCAUUGGGGAAGUAAAUCCCUUUUAGAACCUGGACCCAGAGAGACUCAGGGUUGUGCAUAAUUCUCCAGACUUGCUUAGCCAACAUGCCUGAUUGUUUGCUUCAAAGUCUUUGAAGCCUAUCCCCCCCUCAUUCUUGAGCUUCGUUAGGAGUUCCCAUUUCCGCCAAUGAAUACCUUUGUCUCCUUUGGAGGUCCAACAGAAACGGGCUACUUUAGAACAAAGGUCCUUGCAAAAGGCUUUGGGAAAUCUGAGUAUUGCCAUAGCAUAUGAAGGUAUGGCCUAGACUACAGCCUUAAUGAGGGUCUCUUUACCAGAUUGAUUUAAGAAGUGUCCUUUCCAUCCCUGAAGUUUGUUCAGCACCUUGUCUUUUAUCCAUCCUAGCGAGCUGAUUUUGGAUCGUCCCCAUUCAGUCGGCAUGCCCAAGUACAUUUCGGGGUUAUCCCAUACCUGCACUUGUAAAAUAGUUGCUAGUCUUCUUCUCUUAUCACUGGGAACAUCCUUGCCACCAAUCAGCCCUGACUUUAAGCAGUUGAUCCUUUGUUCAGACGCGAUGAAAAAAAGCAGCAGGAGUUGUUGCCAUUUAUACAGUUCCGGUUCAGUGGCUUGAGCAAGAAGCAUAGCAUCAUUGGCAAAAAAAACAAAUGCAUUAGUGCGGGAGCCUGUUGUGUCAGUUUGAUGCCUUGUAUUCCUCCUUAUUCCUUGCUCCUGAUUAUCAUGUGGGAAAAAACGUCCAAUACUAGCAGGAAUAUAUACCGUGAAAGAGGGUCGCCUUGGAGAAGUCCUCUUUGUGGCUUGAUCUUCUCUCCGCAAACUCCAUUGAUCUUGUAACGGAACUUCCACUCUACUUGAUCGAAGGCUUUAUUCAUGUCAAGCUUGACACUCAAAUGAUCUCUGCCUAUUCUGCAUCUCUUCUUCAGUGCGUUAAAUGCCUCUUGCACUAUAAUAAGAUUGUCCUGAAUUUGUCUCCCCCUAUUAAAAGCAUUCUUCUGGGGGGUGAUGAUAGAAUUCAUUGCUGGUUUCAGUCUUGUUACCAAGAUCCUGGAGAUGAUUUUACAAACAAAGUUACAGCAGCUGAUGGGUCGAAAGUUGGAGAUAGAUUCUGGAUUUUGGGUUUUUGGAGCCAAGACUGUUCAAUAUGUCCGGUCCAGGAGCUUUCAUGCUUCCCAGGCAGAAGGCAGCCUCCUUGACUUCAUUUUCCGUUACAGGCUCUAAGAGUUCCCUGUUCAGACUUUCAUAGAUGACUCUUGGAACUGCGUUGAGGCAUUCAGUGAUAUUCUGGCGGUUCGUGCUUUUGUAAAUAUCUGGAUAGAAGUCUGGCACAUCUCGAUUUAUAGCUAAUUGGCUUCUAACCCAGGUACCUUGCAUAUCCUUGAUCCUCUCAAUUCGAUUUCUUUCUCUACGUUGGACAGUGGAAGCAUGAAAGAACUUUGUGUUCUUGUCCCCGCUUUUCAACCAUUUGAUUCUUGAUCUUUGGCUCCAGAAUAGUUCCUCUUGCCUCCAAAGAUCUUUUAGUCUCAUUUUCCUUUGCUUAAUUUCCUGCCAGUCCUCCCCAGAAUUGCUGUAAUUUUGUAGGUGUUCCAACUGAUUCUUGAGCUCAGCUAUUUCCUUAUCAGCUCUAGAGAAGUUCUGGUGAUGCCAUUCAGUGAGCGCCAGUUUUGUGUUUGUUGUUUUCCCAGAUAAGUUGCUACAAUGACUACUAGCAGUUUCACUAGUAUUAUCCCAAGCUUUCUUUAUGGUUUCUUUACAUUCUGGAUGUUCCUCCCAUUAUGGCUCAUAUCUAAACAUCUUUGUGUGCUUGCUUGCAUAUUUUAGACGUAAAACUAGUGGAGAGUGAUUCGAGCUUACAAUGGGAAGGGCAAUUCCCACUACAUAUUGAAACAGUUCCUGCAUGUUCCAGUUAAAGAGCACUCUGUCGAUCUUUUCCUUAGUGACCUGGCCUUGUCUUGGGUUGCUAACCCAAACGAACCUACACCCUUUCAGAUCUAGGUCCAUCAGGUUUUUAGAGUCGAUGAUUUAUCUAAAGAGCUCCAUACGGUUUCUAUGGUGCGGUCUCAAUCCUUCUUUUUCAUGUUGUUCCAAGAUCUCAUUAAAGUCUCCCAUUAGACACCAAGGAUCAUCAGUGGUGUGAAGGCCAGCAAGUUCACCCCACAGCUUACGUCCUUGGGUGAAGGUUGGGUGCCCUUAGACCCAUGUUACAUGCCAAGAGUUGUGUCCUUCCGUCACUCGAGUGUGGAUGUAACUUUGAGAGCUUCCUAGAAUGUUUAUUUUGGUGCUUUUGUUCCACAUGAGGGCUAGCCCCCCACUUCUGCCUCUUGCCUCAACAUAGUAGCAAUGAUCACAGUGCAGUAGUCAUUUUGUA
Long non-coding RNA from Lotus japonicus, 3242 nucleotides. RefSeq lists it as uncharacterized. Lineage: Eukaryota; Viridiplantae; Streptophyta; Magnoliopsida; Fabales; Fabaceae. The transcript is spliced from 4 exons. The record is from RefSeq and is a predicted model, not a curated record.